CCGUGCGAAGGUAGCGUAAUCACUUGUCUUUUAAAUAAAGACUCGUAUGAAUGGCAUCACGAAGACUUAACUGUCUCCUUAGUCCUAUCAGUGAAACUGAUCUUUCCGUACAAAAGCGGAAAUAAAGUCAUAAGACGAGAAGACCCUAUGGAGCUUAAAACUAAAAUCUAGCUAUAUCAUCUAUUAAAAUUAAUUAAUACUAUAUCUUUAUAGACUUAGCCAAAGUUUUCAGUUGGGGUGACUGUGGAGAAAAACUAAUCCUCCAUGUAGAUUUAAGCCCUGAGCUACCACUCUCAGCAUUAACAAGUUUAACUUUACUUGAUCCAAUAAUUUUGAUCAACGGACCAAGUUACCCUAGGGAUAACAGCGCAAUCCAUUUUAAGAGUCCAUAUCGACAAAUGGGUUU
Molecule: ribosomal RNA, 406 nt
Filed under: Leptobrachium hainanense (Hainan pseudomoustache toad)
Lineage: Eukaryota; Metazoa; Chordata; Amphibia; Anura; Megophryidae
Description: partial 16S ribosomal RNA
Rfam family: Bacterial large subunit ribosomal RNA
Source: RNAcentral